This 855-nucleotide long non-coding RNA is filed under the name Salmo trutta (river trout). RNAcentral describes it as "lncRNA (ENSSTUG00000013474.1)". Lineage: Eukaryota; Metazoa; Chordata; Actinopteri; Salmoniformes; Salmonidae. The record is from RNAcentral.
GUGCUGAAGGACAUGAUGAAGGCCAUCGAUGCUGGGAUUAACAAUGUGCCCCUGCUGGUGCUGCUGAGACUCAAGACAAGAAGCACUGACAGUCAGACUCUGGCUCCUCUGGUUAACUCAAUCAGUAUACAUGAUUCAGCAUAUGACAAUAGACUCCUUAUGUUCUAGAACAUUUGUUGUGUGCUGUAUGGUUCAACUACUGUACAUCUUGAUAAAGCUUUAUUCAAUUAUGUUUGAGACUAUACUUUUAAAUGUCACCCCAAAGUUAUGUCUUAUCCAGUUAUGUCUUAUCUUGUCCCUGUCUUAUCCAAAAUCUAUCUAUUUAUGGCCCUCAUACUUUGUUGACAGGACUGUAUCAGAAAUAAGUCAGUACACACAUACAAUAGAUACUGGUUUGGAUUGGUGUGUUGUUUACUUUACCAUGCUGUUAGUCUCUUCACACAGCCACAGUGUCUCCUUCGCUAUGAGUCAACCAUGCAACGAGACUACCCCGCUGUUUACUUGACUGUUUUUAACAAAGAACCCUGCCUCUCCCUCUCUUUCUUUUGUAUCUCUCUCUCUCUCCUCGCUCAGAUGGCAGAGAUGGACAGGCAGCACAUCUGGAGGAUGAAGCACUUCAACAAGCCUGUGUACUGCAGCGUGUGUCAGAGCAUGCUACUGGGCCAGGAAAUGAGGCCUUUCCUGCAUCUGUGCCGGCACAUGGCUGGGUCAUUGCUGACUGUGACUCCAGUAAGUGUCCCAUCUGCAACAAGAAGAUCAAGACCCUGGCAGGGAAGCAUUGGGUGUGGUGCCAACAGAUGCGCUAUGACGAAUGUGGGAUCUUUGGGUCAUCAUCGUGCAACUGUGGGUCUCUAA